CUCCAUUAUGUGUAAACACAUUUUCUUGAUCCAUUCAUUUGUUGAUAGACACGUAGGCCAUUUCCAAGAUUUAGCUGUUAUGAGCUGUGCUGCUAUAAACAUGGGCGUGCAUGGAUCACUGUAAUGUGAUGCCUUGAACUCUUAGAAAAAUGAAAAAAGUACUCCCUGCUAGUAAGUGGAAAACUGGUACUGGAACCCGAAAUCCCUGACUUCCUAGUUAGUUCCACAACCUUUCUGCCAAGUUAUGUGGGGAUAAGGACUAUUUUAGCGUUCGUUCUUUCAUUCAUUCGUUCGUUCAUUCACCCUUAUUAGACUACGCUGUGGCUUAAACCCAGGGGAGACAGGCUGGGUCCAGAUCGGGAGGAGUGGCAAGCUCCAGGCCCGACUCCGAAGGGCACUGCAUGUUUGGAAGAGACUGGUGGCUGCAGACAAAACCGAUCCCACGGGUCUCCGUUGUUCAGACUGACUUCGAACUCACUAUAUAGCCCAGCCUGGCCUCCAACUUGCAGCAAUCCUUCUGCCUCAGCCUCCCGAGUGCUGGGAUUAUUGUGUACCACCAGGCCCGCCUGGACUUAUCCAUUUUUGACUUUACAAUAGUACAAAAGCUAUGUGCACUCAGUGAAACUGCACUUUGAAUUUUGAUUUUUUUCCCAGGCUAUGGAGAUGCAGUAUUAUACUCUAGCAGUACCUGCCUCUGCCAAGCCCUGGAUCAUGAAGGCAAGUGACUGCUACUCUUUGUUUGUAUAUCUCCAUCUGGAGACACCUGGCCACAGGUACAUAUUCAAAUGCUCACACACAAAAAA
This is a long non-coding RNA of Heterocephalus glaber (naked mole-rat), 803 nucleotides long. RefSeq lists it as uncharacterized. The record is from RefSeq and is a predicted model, not a curated record. NCBI's taxonomy places the organism in Eukaryota, Metazoa, Chordata, Mammalia, Rodentia, Bathyergidae.